CCUCAAUCUGCGGUAUGUGCAUGUCUCUUUGAUUUGACUCCAUGUAAUAAGUUUUGUUGUAGUUGAUAUUAAUGUUCACUUGUAUGGAUCUUAUCUGCAAAGAGAAUCUGUCAGCUGAUAGUCCAGUGUCAGCCAAUAAACCUGAGGUAAGAGAGGGAGUUAGGAGAACCGUAAGUGGAUCUUCUCAUGUUAACUCUGAUGAAGAAGAUGCAGAGACAGAAGCUGGCCAAUCUGAAAUGACUAAUGAUCCCAAUGAUCUAAAACGUAUUAGAAGGUAUGUUAGGUACCGAUAAAAAGUUCGAUGUAAGAAACUGAGAUAGAGAAUCACCAUUUCUUUUAAUCUGUUUUGUGAUGUGAAUUCAGGAUGAAUUCAAACAGAGAAUCAGCAAAGCGGUCGAGGAGAAGGAAGCAAGAGUACUUG
This 421-nucleotide long non-coding RNA is filed under the name Arabidopsis lyrata. Its description in RNAcentral is "long non-coding RNA (ALYR_LNC001304)". Lineage: Eukaryota; Viridiplantae; Streptophyta; Magnoliopsida; Brassicales; Brassicaceae. The record is from RNAcentral.